AAUGAACGCUGGCGGCGUGGUUAAGACAUGCAAGUCGAACGGUUUUUUUGGUGUAGCAAUAUAUUGAAAAGGCAGUGGCGAACGGGUGCGUAACACGUGAACAAUCUACCUUUUAGUGGGGAAUAGCUCGUCGAAAGGCGAAUUAAUACCGCAUAUGAUUGAUGCUCUCCUGAGUGUCAUAUCUAAGUCGGGGACCGCAAGGCCCGACGCUAGAAGAGGAGUUCGCGGCCUAUCAGCUAGUUGGUGAGGUAACGGCCCACCAAGGCUAAGACGGGUAGCCGGUCUGAGAGGAUGAUCGGCCACACUGGAACUGAGACACGGUCCAGACGCCUACGGGUGGCAGCAGUUUCGAAUCAUUCACAAUGGGCGAAAGCCUGAUGGUGCGACGCCGCGUGAGGGAUGAAGGUCUUCGGAUUGUAAACCUCUGUCACUGGGGAAGAAACGCUGAAUCCUAAUACGAUUCAGCCUGACUUAACCCGGAGAGGAAGCAGUGGCUAACUACGUGCCAGCCGCCGCCGUAA
This 521-nucleotide ribosomal RNA is filed under the name uncultured bacterium. RNAcentral describes it as "partial 16S ribosomal RNA". It matches the Rfam family "Bacterial small subunit ribosomal RNA", at positions 29 to 523 of the family's 1533-position model. The record is from RNAcentral.